Molecule: small RNA, 108 nt
Filed under: Arabidopsis thaliana (thale cress)
Lineage: Eukaryota; Viridiplantae; Streptophyta; Magnoliopsida; Brassicales; Brassicaceae
Description: ATSL104420
Source: RNAcentral
UUUUUUUUUCCUUUUUGGUAAAUGCGACCAAUCAGAGGAUAUCACGUCACAUGAUACUGGUAUCAAAAACAUCAUUGAGCUGAUCAAGUUCAUUUUAAUUAUUUUAUU